RNAcentral lists this long non-coding RNA (908 nucleotides) under Sinocyclocheilus grahami. RNAcentral describes it as "lncRNA (ENSSGRG00000011785.1)". Lineage: Eukaryota; Metazoa; Chordata; Actinopteri; Cypriniformes; Cyprinidae. The record is from RNAcentral.
UGACAUUAUCUAUCAGACAGGAAGUGCUCAUGAAAUUCUGAUGUCUUCCACAGUAACGAGACUCUCCUGUCCGCGGGACUCGUGAGCGCCCCCUGUAGUGUGGACCUGCAGCAGUACGCUUGCUCUUCGCUCACAGGCUUCACUGCUGCAAACCUGGCUGAACUCCUGAAGUGUCAACUAUCCAGCAGCAGCAGUUACUCCAAGGAGAUCUGGAAACUGCUUCUCAAUAAAGCAAAUGAUGUUCUGGAUCAAGCCCUCAUCAUCUUUUCCAGCGAAGCAGCAAAUAUGUCUCAGCCAAUCAGAGGUGAUGUUGUGUCCCAAGUGCUGGAUGUGAUUGGAGAGCUGAGACUGGAGACCAUCAGUUCUGACCAAUGGAGUGACAUCGAUUUCAUCAGCAUGUUGUUUGAUCAAAAUCUGAAGCCGUUUUUACCGUUUGCGUCAUCAUCCCUACUGCGGUGCACCAGCAGCAAAAACCUCAGCUGCCAAACCUACCAGCACAUGUAAGAAAAGCAUUUCCUCAACAAUAGCCCAGGACUAUCAUGAGCUGAUAAGAUGCUUGUUCAACAUUAUUUUCAACCAUUUCUCAGUCUGUCGAAGGUCAAACUUGUCAAUGAGACUCAAGGAAGAAACAUGGUGAACUUCUUCAUCCUGCCCUUCCUCAGAAGAAACACAACAGGUGAGCUGGAGGUUCACAGAUGUUUCAUAUGAAGGUUCUGGAGUUCAUGAAGGUGAUUUCACUGUGUGUGUUGUGUGUCAGAUGCGGGCUGUGUGUCGAAUGCUAACAACAGCGCUGAGUGGCUACAGAAGAACUUUGGCCCGUUCUCUCGGUUUGUGUCUCUCACAGAUCUGCUCUCCAUCAACAGACUCUUUGAUCCCGUAUGUCUUCACAUCUUCACAUGUGAUUUCAU